UUAAAAGUUCAGCAGACAGGUGCUCUGCUUUGGAGUGUGACGAUGUCGUCGGUGAUGUGGAGAGUGAAGUUUCCGUUUCACCCACAGCGUGCUUUAGGGCAGCCGGGUCGGACUUGAUGUUUGAAAUACUGACCGACAGCUCAGAUUUAACUGUCUGUAGUUCCGUUUUGAUGGGUGUUAAACUUUCACUGAAAGCCGCCAGGAGCUGGGUCUUUAAAAUAACCGCCGUCUCGUUACAGAGUGAAAGUAGCAGUUCCUCCUUAAGGUCAGAGAUUGCAGCAUCUGAGGGCCUCUUCAAAAGAAGACGGAGUUGAUGAAGGCGUUCUGGAGCAGGACCAGAAAGACCACGACCAAGCAGCCUUGAGAUCUUAGGCAGCAUCUCCCUGAGGUCCCUCUCUAUCUCCCCACACAUCCACCAACCACUGGAACACAUCUCCAAAGUUCUGCCGGGCCAGCUCAGCUUCCCCUCAGAAGAAGUGCUGCCACCUGCCAGAUGAAGGAGCCUUUUGAGAGGCAGCUGGCAUCGUGAUUGGACUGUACUUUGGUCUGUUCCAAUCCAGCUUCAGCUCCAGAGACGGCAGGCGGGACGAGUCAACGGAGGCCUGGUGGACGAAGGCAUGCAGCUGAGUACAAUCCAGAAAACAACAGAGGAGGAGUGCAGCGGCCCAGAGCCAGAACAAACAGAGUAGCAUCGUAUGUCUCUUAGAAAACAUCAUAGUAUAGCCUUUGGUAUGAAAAAACGCCAUCAUAUACAUCGUAUAUUGUACAAAUAACAAGUCAAAGGAAAGAGACAUACAUUGUAGAAUUGUAGUAAUUGUGGGCUGACUGAUUUACUGAUUAUCAGUAUUUUAUUUUUUACUGAUUUACGGUAAUAAAUACAUUUAAAAAUGG
Molecule: long non-coding RNA, 891 nt
Organism: Amphiprion ocellaris (clown anemonefish)
Lineage: Eukaryota; Metazoa; Chordata; Actinopteri; Pomacentridae
Exons: 2
Source: RefSeq, a predicted model, not a curated record